Molecule: non-coding RNA, 26 nt
Filed under: Rattus norvegicus (Norway rat)
Lineage: Eukaryota; Metazoa; Chordata; Mammalia; Rodentia; Muridae
Source: RNAcentral
UAUAUGUAUUACCUGUUGGGCAUGUA